This 616-nucleotide long non-coding RNA is filed under the name Dermacentor andersoni. RNAcentral describes it as "uncharacterized LOC126535599". Lineage: Eukaryota; Metazoa; Arthropoda; Arachnida; Ixodida; Ixodidae. The record is from RNAcentral.
CGACAACUCUCUUGGUGGUGUCGGGCCCUGCAGCUGUUGCUGGGCCAAGUGGCCUUACACAGCCACCGGCUACACCCCAGGUGCUGCGGCCUACCCCUUAGGUACCUCAGCUUACCACCCAGGUGCCGCGGCCUACCACCCAGGUGCCGCAGCCUACCCCCCAGGUGCCGCAGCCUACCCCCCAGGUGCCGCGGCCUACCCCCCAGGUGCCGCAGCCUACCCCCCAGGUGCCGCAGCCUACUCCCCCGGUGCCGCAGCCUACCCCUCGAGAGCCACGGGCACCCCGUAGACAGCCCAGGCAGCAGGAACUCGAUGGUGCUGUGGUGACGGCUACUGCCGCAUACGUUCGCCAGAGCGAGUUGGCGGAAGCCAGAGUUCAAGAGGACGACCGCUUCCGCCAACAACUGCUGGAGCAAAACCGGCAGCACCACGAGGCCCACAUGGAGAGCCUGCGGCACCUCGGGGAGGAGGUGGCGGGAAUGCGGGAAGUGCAGUCGCAGCGCCUCGAAGUGGCGCGUCGGUCGCGCGAGACCAACGAGCGCCUGCUUCAGCUGCUGCUGGCUGCACUGGGGCAUGGUGGCAGCCAAGCCCCUCUCCCCUCUCAGGCCCAACAUAA